This 514-nucleotide ribosomal RNA is filed under the name Citrobacter freundii. RNAcentral's name for it is "bacterial SSU rRNA". It matches the Rfam family "Bacterial small subunit ribosomal RNA", at positions 59 to 576 of the family's 1533-position model. Lineage: Bacteria; Pseudomonadati; Pseudomonadota; Gammaproteobacteria; Enterobacterales; Enterobacteriaceae. The record is from RNAcentral.
AUCUUACCCGGGGAGUCGUAACCUUGCUCCUUGGGUGACGAGUGGGGGACGGGUGAGUAAUGUCUGGGAAACUGCCCGAUGGAGGGGGAUAACUACUGGAAACGGUAGCUAAUACCGCAUAACGUCGCAAGACCAAAGAGGGGGACCUUCGGGCCUCUUGCCAUCGGAUGUGCCCAGAUGGGAUUAGCUAGUAGGUGGGGUAACGGCUCACCUAGGCGACGAUCCCUAGCUGGUCUGAGAGGAUGACCAGCCACACUGGAACUGAGACACGGUCCAGACUCCUACGGGAGGCAGCAGUGGGGAAUAUUGCACAAUGGGCGCAAGCCUGAUGCACCAUGCCGCGUGUAUGAAGAAGGCCUUCGGGUUGUAAAGUACUUUCAGCGAGGAGGAAGGUGUUGUGGUUAAUAACCGCCCAAUUGAGUUACUCGCAAAAACACCGGCUACUCCGUGCCCCCCCCCGGGUAAUACCGAGGGUGCAAGCUUAAUCGAAAUACUGGCGUAAAGCGCCCCAGGC